This 253-nucleotide ribosomal RNA is filed under the name uncultured bacterium. RNAcentral's name for it is "partial 16S ribosomal RNA". It matches the Rfam family "Bacterial small subunit ribosomal RNA", at positions 524 to 776 of the family's 1533-position model. The record is from RNAcentral.
UACGUAGGGUGCAAGCGUUGUCCGGAAUUAUUGGGCGUAAAGAGCUCGUAGGCGGUUUGUCGCGUCUGCUGUGAAAACUGGAGGCUCAACCUCCAGCCUGCAGUGGGUACGGGCAAACUAGAGUGCGGUAGGGGAGAUUGGAAUUCCUGGUGUAGCGGUGGAAUGCGCAGAUAUCAGGAGGAACACCCGUGGCGAAGGCGGCACUCUGGGACGGUACUGACGCUGAGACGCGAAAGCGUGGGGAGCGAACAGG